GCUUGUCUCAAAGAUUAAGCCAUGCAUGUUCAAGUAUAGCAAGUGUACAGUGAAACUGCGAAUGGCUCAUUAAAUCAGUUAUCGUUUAUUUGGUGGUUGUUUACUACAUGGAUAACCUUGGUAAUUCUAAAGCUAAUACAUGCGCAAAAGCCUGACUUAUUGGAAAGGCUGCGUUUAUUAGAUACAGAACCAACCCAGGUUCGCCUGGACUCUGGCGAGUCAUGAUAACCGAGCGAAUGGCAUGGCAUCAGCUGGCGAUGUACCAUUCAAGUUUCUGACCUAUCAGCUUCCGACGGUAGGGUAUUGGCCUACCGUGGCAAUGACGGGUAGCGGAGAAUUAGGGUUCGAUUCCGGAGAGGGAGCCUGAGAAACGGCUACCACAUCUAAGGAAGGCAGCAGGU
RNAcentral lists this ribosomal RNA (401 nucleotides) under Gymnodinium litoralis. RNAcentral's name for it is "partial small subunit ribosomal RNA". It matches the Rfam family "Eukaryotic small subunit ribosomal RNA", at positions 30 to 433 of the family's 1831-position model. Lineage: Eukaryota; Dinophyceae; Gymnodiniales; Gymnodiniaceae. The record is from RNAcentral.